Molecule: RNA transcript, 7613 nt
Organism: Bactrocera neohumeralis
Lineage: Eukaryota; Metazoa; Arthropoda; Insecta; Diptera; Tephritidae
Gene name: endothelin-converting enzyme 2
Exons: 14
Source: RefSeq, a predicted model, not a curated record
AAUUAAAUAAAUAAGUAGACUAAAUAUUAACAUAUUACGUGAAGACAACAUUUGGCGGUAAAAAAAAAUUAUAAUUUAUUUGUUUUAUUAAAGGGCCUGUUGAUAGUAAUGGAUUCUAAGUUGGAAGUUAAUCGAUUUUGAACACUAUUGGUGCUUGUAUGUCAUCUACAGAAAAUAUUAAUAACUCAACCAAGAGUGCUUUGAUGCAAAACCAAAUGUCGGUUGUUGGCAGUCAUACGCCGAAAAGUGAAGACACUGAUGCUCUCGAAGGUACUACCAUUAGUAAUACCACCAAAUAUAAGAUCAACUUCAAACCCAACACAGAGCCAGGCAGACAGCAAUAUAAUAUUCAACAACAACAUCAGAAAAAUGCUACCCUAGAGUGGAUGUGUUGUGCACCUUGUAUUUGGUUGCGAACUUCGACAACCGUUCAUAAAAUUGCUAUAACGACGGCUACAAUUUUGGUAACGGCCUUGUUGGUUGCAUCACCAAUACUAUUUUUAAUAAGUACAGCUCCUUCGCGCCUACCAAAAGAAUGUUUUUCCAGCACUGAUGAAUGUGUUUCAACAUCUCCUCCCCCUAUAGAAUGCACAGAAAUAAUAUGUCAAGCAGUUGCCGACAGUAUUCAAGGAAACAUCAAUUGGAAUUUGGAUCCGUGCACAGAGUUUAAAAAUUUUAGCUGCUCAGGAAGUAUUCGUACUACAAAGACUGUGCGGAGCAUUCAAGGAACUGUUGACACUCAGAUGCAAUAUCUCCUUCAGCAUAAUACCACAAAGGGGCCUUUUCGAAAGCUUGGACGACUUUUUAGCAGUUGCAUGCGGCAAACAACGAAUUCUUCAACUAUAAAAUUCGUUCUAGAACAGCUUGGUGGUUAUCUCCCUACAGGAACGGUUGGUCCUACUUCAAUAUCAUCUUUGAUUAAAAAAAUGUUCAAAUUGGGUCCAACGCCUCUUAUUGAUAUAUAUUACGAUUUAAGCUACGGCCGCCGUCCUCAAGUGUUGUUAAUAAUAGGCAGACCUGGAACUUCACCGCCAAUAUUAGAGAACAGUAUACGCUAUUCCGGUCCAAAAGCACCACCGUAUCAGUUUAAAAAUGGAAAAUAUAAACUGCUAAAGAAACUACUAGACGACUUUUUACCAAACGAGCUUUCUUCUGAUCAAAAGUCUUCAGAGAAAGAGACGAUUUCCACAUUUAUCGACGAACUAAACCAAAUUCAUUGCCUUAAAAUCAUUUUACAGAUUCGAGUGGAACAUACUCUUCGUGGUUUCUGGAACAGUUCGGUUUUAUACAACAUUUCCUCAUUGCAGAAUAUUUAUCCCCUGCUUAAUUGGACCGAUUUAUUACCAUAUAAAUGGAAUAACCCUAUCGUGGUUCGAAGUCCAGAUUAUAUAAAAGCAAUUGAAGAAUUGCUUGUCAAAUAUUCUACACGCGUUGUACAUAAUUCGAUGCUAAUUCUUUUUACUCUUGGAAUAUUGCCACCAGAUAAUCCAAAUCCAAUAAUAUGUACUCGCGCUACAAUGUGGGCUCUACCCGAUGUAACUUCUGCAAUUUUUGUGACUCACCAUUCUACAAGAGAUAUUAAAAACGCAAUAAAAAGAACCAAUCUUAUUUUCAAAUCACUCAAAGCUUAUUUAAAGCGUGCGCCUUCACUUAAAGGGGCAGCAUUAGUUAAACUUUCGUCACUACGAAUACAAUCUCAACCUUGGAAUGGCUUUACUAAUAUUACUUAUGCAGCAAAAGAUUUGGACUCUAUGGAUAUAUCCUCAGACGACUGGUUUGAAAAUAUAUUAAAAAUAUUUGGCAGAAAUAAAAUCGACCCCACAUCCAUAAAAAUUGAUAAAAAUUCUCACGAUACAUGGGCUUAUCCAAUUAUUUCAAAAGUAUUCUAUGAUACACUAAGCCACUCAAUAGUGGUUCCUUUAUCCGUUAUGCUGGUGCCAUACUUUGAUGACAGAUUACCGCCAUAUCUACAGUAUGCCUCAGUUGGCGUGCACAUUGCCAAAGAAAUUCUACGAUCUAUUACGAAAAGCUUCGAGGAUAAAGCAAUUCGUUGUGUACCCGAAUCAGUCAAGGUUUUCUCAAAUCAUAGUCAAAUGGAGAUACUAAUACACUCUGGAGGAAUGCAAAUAUCAUAUCAUUCAAUGUUAUCUAUAACCGGGCCGCUGAAAGGAAUGGCUCGUUUACCAUCUUUGAAUUUGACUCCUACUCAAAUUUUUUUUUUGGUAACAUCACAAGAGCUGUGUGAGGAGUCUAACUACAUUGGCAUAGAUACAGAAACCGUGGAUUUCGAACACAUGUAAAGUCUCUUGCCCUUGUACGGUGCACGGAUGUCAGUAUUUUCCCAUUUGUGCAAUGACACAACAACAAUCUGCACAAUAUUUGCAAUGGCUGUAAAAUAUGUCAAACCAAAACCUCUGCUAAUUUUCCAAUAACACGUAAAAAAAAUAAUUGCAACCCUGUGCCAGCAGUCAUCCUACAUAAAAACAUAUUUGUCCGUUAAAUUGUUGAGUAAGUUCUUAAUAAAAAUGAAUGAAGAAGGUGUGCCCUCAGCUAAAAAGGAAAAGUAGCAGCCAAAUAAAAAGUGGAAGGAGACGGAGGUGCUUUCAAUCAUAGACUUUUUUAUAGAGGAGGUAGAAAUUGCGGCUCCAAGUGGUCAAUUCCACCCCCAUCGUCAUUCCAAUUUUCAACACAGAAAAUGUCUAUGGAAGAGAAUUGACUUGAAUUUUGAAAAUAUAAAUGUGAAAAAGAAAAGAAAAUUCAUGAAAAAAAAAGAUACUAAAACAAGUAAGGAAGGGCUAAGUUCGGGUGUCACCGAACAUUUUAUACUCUCGCAUGAUAAAGUGAUAAUCGAGAUUUCAUUAUCCGUCAUUUACAUAUUUUUUAAAUACCGUAUUUGUGGAAAAUUUUAUUCCGCUAUCAUCAUUGGUUCCUAAUGUAUAUAUUAUACAGAGAAGGCAUCAGAUGGAAUUCAAAAUAGCGUUAUAUUGGAAGAAGGCGUGGUUGUGAACCGAUUUCACCCAUAUUUCGUACAUGUCAUCAAGGUGUUAAGAAAAUAGUAUAUACCGAAUUUCAUUGAAAUCGGUCUAGUAGUUCCUGAGAUAUGGUUUUUGGUCCAUAAGUGGGCGACGCCACUCCUAUUUUCAAUUUUUAAAAAAAGCCAGAAUGCAGCUUCCUUCUGUCAUUUCUUCCGUAAAUUUUAGUGUUUCUGACGUGUUUUGUUAGUCGGUUAACGCACUUUUAGUGAUUUUAAACAUAACCCUUGUAUGGGAGGUGGGCGUGGUUAUUAUCCGAUUUCUUCCAUUUUUAAACUGUAUAUGGAAAUACCUGAAGAAAACGACUCUAUAAAGUUUGGUUGACAUAGCUGUAGUAGUUUCCGAGAUAUGUACAAAAAACUUAGUAGGGGGCGGUUCCACGCCCACUUUUCCAAAAAAAAUACGUCCAAAUAUGCCCCUCUCUAAUGCGAUCCUUUGUGCCAAAUUUCACUUUAAUAUCUUAUUUAUGGCUUAGUUAUGACACUUUAUAGGUUUUCGGUUUUCGCCAUUUUGUGGGCGUGGCAGUGGGCCGAUUUUGCCCAUCUUCGAACUUAACCUUCUUAUGGAGCCAAGAAAUACGUGUACCAAGUUUCAGCAUGAUAUCUCAAUUUUUACUCAAGUUACAGCUUGCACGGACGGACAGACAGACAUCCGGAUUUCAACUCUACUCGUCACCCUGAUCACUUUGGUAUAUAUAACCCUAUAUCUGACUCUUUUAGUUUUAGGACUUACAAACAACCGUUAUGUGAACAAAACUAUAAUACUCUCCUUAGCAACUUUGUUGCGAGAGUAUAAAAAUGAAGUAGGUAUAUACCACUAUGUAUAUAUACAUAUACCUACAUUUUUUACGUAGGUAGUAGGUUGUAGUAUUUUAAAAAGAGGUAUAUCAUAUAUUGUUUGUUCACGUGUUUUUGAUUACCAAAUAUCAUUGUCAAGAAUAUAUGCAUUUAGAUUUUAAUUUCGAAAAGGAAGAAAAUACUCGCAUUUUCCGUUUCACCACCUCCUACUCCAAACAGUCUAACUAUUUUCCGAAUCGCCUCGUUUUGACCCGAUGAUCCCAAAAUGCUAUACAUACUAGCUAGCCGUAGAUCUACCGAAAUUAAUUUGUUAACAUCUUGGAAUUCCUUUAUUUUGUUUAUUUAUUCAUUCACAUUAGUCGUUACAAUAAUCAAUAAAUUGAACGAAUUGGAAAUGCUCAGAAACAAAAUUACAAAAUUUUGUAUUUUGUUUAAUUUAAAAUUAAUACAAAUAUGAACAAUUGGUAUAAUUUCUUAGGAAAUGGAGAAACUGGUUUUCGCACGAAAACUUGUGUUUCGUACGAAAACACAGUUUUCGCUGAAAACUACUUGAAAACUUACAUUCCACUCAUUAUAAUCAGUGCCUGCUCUAGUUUAAUCGAUGUUUUUGGAAGACAUACUUAUUUUACCGGCCCUAAAUUGUCACUUGAUAUUUGUUUACAUUCCAUAUACAAAUACAGCUGUCACUUGAUAUUCUCAUAUUAAGGGGAUUCUCUUGCUCUUGCAAAACAUUGCACGGUGCAGAAAUUACAGAAUUUUCCUCUUGGUGCAACGGCACAUCAACAAACACACGCAGAAAAUUAUUUGCAAUGGCUGUAAAAUAUGUCAGACCAAAACCCAUGUUUAUUUUCGUGCCGUCAUAUAUCACUAGAUUCUGCAAUGGGUGCUCUCUUGGCCUUGCAUAUUUCGGUAUAUGAUUUUAGCAUUUUGUGUCAUCGUGCAAUCUUGCAAGAGCAAGAGAAUGCCGCUAUUGAUAGUUAUCAGUGAAAACUCAUCGAAAACACACUUUGUCGGUCCGAACGACUUAGAUUCCACAACAUACAAAUGUGUUUUCAAAAUGUUUUCAAUGUCGGUCCGAACAUAGUAUUAGCUUGUGAUAGUCAAAUAAAACACGGCUAGUGUAUUGUAUAAUAAGAAUAUGUUUUGCGUUUCAUUCAAGCAAAUUGGUUAAUAUUCUAAAGAGGUAAUCCCAUGUGACCGUCUGUUUUCAGAGAUUUUUAAGGUUCUAUUCAACGUCUAGUAAACAGAUGAGCUUCAAGUUUAUUAUCAUUCAUUAAUAUACAGUGGGCAGUAUAAAUAUAAAUUUUCAGCAAAAAUAUUGUGUAGAACAUGAGUGUUUUGAACACCCCCGGAUGAUUGGCUUAUUUGAAACAAAAAGAAGUAGCGUCGUCUUAAUUUGUAAGCUUAAGUGCAUGAAAUGGGCUAUAAUCAAAUGAAUAAACCAAAAAUUUUACUGUAUCGAUCGGUAUUCUUAAGGAUCGGCCAAAAAUGGCCGAAUCAGAUUCCGUUGCCGAUCAAUCGGUCGGGCACUAGAUAUCACCAAUACCGAAAAACAAAAAAAUCAUACAAGCCAUACACACACGUGCACACAGAAAUUUAAAAAUAUGCAGGAAAUUUCUGUUUUACCAACAAGUGCGAACGCCGAGCAAAUAAACAAGCAGUAGGUUCGGCACCACUUCCGUGCAAAGUAUGCGAUUGUGUCCACUUACUAAGUAUGUAUUGACGAACUAACAUUUUCUGACAAAUGCACACAACAAAUUUAGAAACAACCAGAAACAACACAUACCAAUGCCAUACCAUAACAAACGGCCAGCCGUACGGACGCAUAGCACGUUAAUUUAAGUCGAGAAAGUUCAACACAGUUCCUGAGUAGCAAAUAAUAGGUUGUCAAAAAAGUCUUCCGGUAUUUUGGCUAGUUGGCGCUGAAAACGCGUAGUUCUAGUUUUAUAGCAUCGGGUCAUGCUACACCUUUUUGGAGAGCUCAUUUCAUGCGCUAACAAGUGUUUGAUUGAUUGUCGUUUCUUUGAAGUCGUUCGUGAGUUAUAGCGUCGCAAACCUGGAGCAAAAUAAAGAGAAAAUACGGCAUAUUUUACAGUACUACUACGAUAAAGGCAAAAAUGCAUCUCAAGCCGCCAAUAAAAUUUGUGCAGUUUAUGAUCCCGAUACAGUUUCCAUUUCCACCGCACAACGAUGGUUUCAACGUUUUCGUUCUGGUGUAGAGGUGGUCGAAGAUGCGCCACGCUCCGGAAGGCCUGUCGUCGAAAAUUGCGAUAAAAUCGCUGAAUUGGUCGAAAGAGACCGGCAUAGUAGCAGCCGUAGCAUCGGUCAAGAGCUGGGCAUGAGUCAUCAAAAAUUCAUUUCAAUUUCAAUAAAAAAAAAAAAAUCAAUAAAAAUACCGCAAGACGUUUUUGAUAAACCUUUAUUCGAGGCUUCAACAAAAUGAUUAACAAAGGAGGAUAUAAUAUGCUCCAAUACGCGCAGACGAAACAAAAACGUAAAAAAUACGCGAAACUAACACACUCAUAAAUUUUACAAAGCUUACCAUCCUAGCAAAAAUUGACUAUGGAUUGCAAUAGCGCAUAUCAUGCUGCUGUCCGAUUUAGCCUUAGGGCCUUUCGAACAACUUUUUAAAUUUUGGAUAAGGAAAUAAAGCUACUUUAAACCCAAAAAAAUACCAUAACUGUAAAAUCAGGUCUUGUGGAGAUGUUGUAAAGUAUGUUAAAGCAAACACAGAAGUGGUAAUCAAAAACUCUAGGAAUCAUAUUACUCCCCUUUUGUUGAUAUGUUCCGAAUCAUUUAUCAACACGCUUUCUGUAUACCCUAAAGGCUCAACUAGCCAACUUAUCUAUAAGCAUUUCUAGAGGCGGCCUGUUCAUUUAUUUAUUGCUGAAGAUAAUAAAUUUAUUAUCUGAUAACAAAGCAUAAGUUCAUAACCUUAACAACCUCUCAGAAGAAAUAUCUAUCAUUAUGACUUCCUUAAUAAACUUCAAAAAAAGAAUUAAGCUUAUGUGGAUCCCAGGCCAUGUUAAUAACACAGCAAACGAGUUAGCAGAUAAAGCAGCCAAAGCGGCCUCAACAUCUCUCCUUCAGCUAUUUAUUCCAUUCCCGAAAAAAACGAAUCAAAAGUGAGAUAUUACCCGAGCUUCUCAAAAAAGUCCAAUACCAAUAGAGCAAAGAAAUUGGAAAAAUAAAUCCAGACAAACACGCAAUAAGAAUACCAACCAAUACCAUAGCAGUAAUGAACAAAUGUUUUAUACGCCUUGAGCACACUCGUCUUACACAGCCAGUGUACAUUUUUGCAUCUCUUCCCCUUUAACAAUCACCCAUAUAUUAAACAUAACCUCCACCGAUCCACCGUACUUUAUCAAGAUCUCAUAUCCAUACUAAAUAUCCCAAACGAAGACAAUGGCAAAAAUAUUUUUAAUGAUUUAAAACUUUUGAAUUAAGUGUAAAGUGAAUUAGGUUGUUGUGGCUCAUUCCAGUGUAAGAGCGCCUCAAAAUAAUCGUUAUAUCAUUUUCCAUUGUAACCUGAUCGGACAAAAUAAUAAUUUUUGGACAUUUGAAUUAAAACAGCCAACAUUUAUUACGAUUAAAAAUUGUUAUAUAUUGGACUUUUAACUAAACUAUUUAAAUCGAAACUAUUUAAAUCUUUUUUUAUGAUUUUAUGCUAUAUUAAAACAACUAACUUUCAAACUUUCAAUACUUAAUAAAGUGAAUUAAGCCUUUUUGCUCUCAAUUAAUAAAUUGUAAUUGUAAUUGUGUAAAAAUAAAAAGUUUAAUUGAA